GGGGAAUAUUGGACAAUGGGGGCAACCCUGAUCCAGCCAUGCCGCGUGAGUGAUGAAGGCCCUAGGGUUGUAAAGCUCUUUCACCGGUGAAGAUAAUGACGGUAACCGGAGAAGAAGCCCCGGCUAACUUCGUGCCAGCAGCCGCGGUAAUACGAAGGGGGCUAGCGUUGUUCGGAAUUACUGGGCGUAAAGCGCUCGUAGGCGGAUAUUUAAGUCGGGGGUGAAAUCCCAGGGCUCAACCCUGGAACUGCCUUCGAUACUGGAUAUCUAGAGGUCGAGAGAGGUAAGCGGAAUUCCGAGUGUAGAGGUGAAAUUCGUAGAUAUUCGGAAGAACACCAGUGGCGAAGGCGGCUUACUGGCUCGAUACUGACGCUGAGGAGCGAAAGCGUGGGGAGCAAAC
This 400-nucleotide ribosomal RNA is filed under the name uncultured bacterium. Its description in RNAcentral is "bacterial SSU rRNA". It matches the Rfam family "Bacterial small subunit ribosomal RNA", at positions 356 to 773 of the family's 1533-position model. The record is from RNAcentral.